RNAcentral lists this ribosomal RNA (253 nucleotides) under uncultured bacterium. RNAcentral describes it as "partial 16S ribosomal RNA". It matches the Rfam family "Bacterial small subunit ribosomal RNA", at positions 524 to 776 of the family's 1533-position model. The record is from RNAcentral.
UACGUAGGUGGCAAGCGUUAUCCGGAAUUAUUGGGCGUAAAGCGCGCGUAGGUGGUUUUUUAAGUCUGAUGUGAAAGCCCACGGCUCAACCGUGGAGGGUCAUUGGAAACUGGAAAACUUGAGUGCAGAAGAGGAAAGUGGAAUUCCAUGUGUAGCGGUGAAAUGCGCAGAGAUAUGGAGGAACACCAGUGGCGAAGGCGACUUUCUGGUCUGUAACUGACGCUGAUGUGCGAAAGCGUGGGGAUCAAACAGG